RNAcentral lists this ribosomal RNA (254 nucleotides) under uncultured bacterium. RNAcentral describes it as "partial 16S ribosomal RNA". It matches the Rfam family "Bacterial small subunit ribosomal RNA", at positions 524 to 776 of the family's 1533-position model. The record is from RNAcentral.
CACGUAGGGGGCGAGCGUUGUCCGGAUUUAUUGGGCGUAAAGAGCUCGUAGGCGGUUUCGUAAGUCGGAUGUGAAAACUCCAGGCUCAACUUGGAGACGCCAUUCGAUACUGCGAUGACUUGAGUCCGGUAGGGGAGUGUGGAAUUCCUGGUGUAGCGGUGAAAUGCGCAGAUAUCAGGAGGAACACCGGUGGCGAAGGCGGUUCUCUGGGCCUUACCUGACGCUGAGGAGCGAAAGCAUGGGGAGCAAACAGG